RNAcentral lists this ribosomal RNA (492 nucleotides) under uncultured bacterium. RNAcentral describes it as "partial 16S ribosomal RNA". It matches the Rfam family "Bacterial small subunit ribosomal RNA", at positions 29 to 507 of the family's 1533-position model. The record is from RNAcentral.
AGUGAACGCUGGCGGCGGGCCUAACACAUGCAAGUCGAACGGCAGCACAGUAAGAGCUUGCUCUUACGGGUGGCGAGUGGCGGACGGGUGAGGAAUACAUCGGAAUCUACUUUUUCGUGGGGGAUAACGUAGGGAAACUUACGCUAAUACCGCAUACGACCUACGGGUGAAAGCAGGGGAUCUUCGGACCUUGCGCGAUUGAAUGAGCCGAUGUCGGAUUAGCUAGUUGGCGGGGUAAAGGCCCACCAAGGCGACGAUCCGUAGCUGGUCUGAGAGGAUGAUCAGCCACACUGGAACUGAGACACGGUCCAGACUCCUACGGGAGGCAGCAGUGGGGAAUAUUGGACAAUGGGCGCAAGCCUGAUCCAGCCAUACCGCGUGGGUGAAGAAGGCCUUCGGGUUGUAAAGCCCUUUUGUUGGGAAAGAAAAGCAGCAGGUUAAUACCCCGCUGUUCUGACGGUACCCAAAGAAUAAGCACCGGCUAACUUCGUG